UACGGAAGGCAGCAGGGGGAAAUAUUGCACAAUGGGCGCAAGCCUGAUGCAGCCAUGCCGCGUGUAUGAAGAAGGCCUUCGGGGUUGUAAAGUACUUUCAGUCGUGAGGAAGGUGUUAAGGUUAAUAACCUUAGCAAUUGACGUUAGCGACAGAAGAAGCACCGGCUAACUCCGUGCCAGCAGCCGCGGUAAUACGGAGGGUGCGAGCGUUAAUCGGAAUUACUGGGCGUAAAGGGCACGCAGGCGGUUAAUUAAGUUGGAUGUGAAAUCCCCGGGCUUAACCUGGGAAUGGCAUUCAAGACUGGUUAGCUAGAGUCUUGUAGAGGGGGUAGAAUUCCAUGUGUAGCGGUGAAAUGCGUAGAGAUGUGGAGGAAUACCGGUGGCGAAGGCGGCCCCUGGACAAAGACUGACGCUCAUGUGCGAAAGCGUGGGGAGCAAACAGGGAUUAGAUACC
This 454-nucleotide ribosomal RNA is filed under the name uncultured bacterium. RNAcentral's name for it is "bacterial SSU rRNA". It matches the Rfam family "Bacterial small subunit ribosomal RNA", at positions 340 to 786 of the family's 1533-position model. The record is from RNAcentral.